GAAAAUCUAACAAAGGUGAACAAUAAAUUAUUUUUCUAACACAUUUCAAGCUUACCUGUUUUAUACAUAUCCAAAAAAUCAAAAUAAAUGUUGAAUUGGCUAUUAAUAUUUGGCACAACUGCUAAUUACACUGGUCGAUAACUCUCUGAAACAUGUUGCAGCAGAUUCACAUUUGGCAAGAUAUAACACCUGGGUUCAUUUAUUAUUGCCAAGCAGGCUGUUGACAGGGGAGUGUGCUUUAUGACCACAGAACAGUUAACACUAAUUAGUUCUGCUGAUAAGCCGAUGGCUAAAAUCUAGCGGUCCUGGGAGUAACUGAGUAGGACUGAAUGGGUAAUAAAGUUGUUAACAAUUAGAAUUAUCAUUACAAUUCUUCCUAAACAAAGUCACGCAGUCGAUACAGCUGUACUGCUUUCGCGUUUAAGAGCAAUGUCACGUGUCAGUUAAGUACACUGUGUAAUCUACACCCUUUUGUGUCAAAACCGGAUUUAUCUUGAUUACGAAACAGACAGAGUAUGUAUGCGUGGAUUACGUUGGAUUUUAGCGCCUGAUGCCUUUGGUUAUUCAGUCUUAAUUUGUUCAAAUAUGGGACAUAAUUGUUCGUUAGGAUCUUGAAUUCGUCAAUCGGUCGACUGAAGAAAUAUACGAAAAUCAAUGCCUGACGAUAUAUAAUGGUUUCACAGUAUACUAUCUAAAUUUUUCAGGAUUUUUUAUGUCUUUUUCUUUGAAUGAUACAGUUUUACCAUACUUUCGGUUUAUGACAGCGAAUCCGCUUUUUAUACUUGUUCAGACGUGACGUCAAAUGACAAGUGACAACCUUUAUUAAAAUUAAUUUACCGAUAAAUGUAAUACAAAAUGUCGGAUUUACUGAAUUAAUGAGAUGCAUGAGUAAACAACAUUACUAUCGUUGAUUAAGUCAUAGAUUUAGUUUAAAAAUAGGUAUGACAUUAAAUCAAUUUAUAAGAUAUUAUUCUGUAUUAUUCAAAAGGGAUUAGUAAUGUUAUUAUUCAUAGUUAUUGGCAAUGAGCCUUUGUUUUACACUGUGUGCGCACUGCUAGGUGGGGUAAUGACGUAGCAAUACUACCAACUUACCAACCAUCUAAAAAGUGGUGAUAUGAGCAUAGCGAUCACUUGUCAACAACAGUCACUUUGGUCAUUUCCCUUGACUGACUGCUGUCCUCAGUUUUGACUUUAUUUACCACCCUUCUUACUGGCAUAUCAAGCUGUCUCUCUUGUUUGUAUUUACUACCCCACAUGUCUUGUUUCUGGCAAAGCUAGUGGUUUCGCUGGCCUGUUGUAAAUUCCACCUACCUGUAACCUCAAUUUUGCAAGUGCUAGUUAUCAUUUAAUUUUGCUGUUCAAUAUGAAAAUACAUUCUUUUCUUUACUGACAAAUAUUCAUGCUACUAACAUACUAGAGUUUUUUUUGAUUUUCUUUUGUACUUUGUAUUCUUUUCACAUCUUUUGGCAUCAUAGUUUGGUCAAAGCCAUUAUUUCAUUGUGUUUUUAUUUUAUGCACCCACUUAAAAAACAUCAACAAAAUAUGCCAAAAUGUUUUUAACCAGGUUUUCCGAAGGAAAAAACUGGUUAUUAGAUUGGCGAAUGCGGGCGGGCUGGCUGGCUGGCUAGCUGGCGGGCUGGCUGGCGGGCUGGCGGAAUAAGCUUGUCCGGGCCAUAACUAUGUCGUUCAUUGUCAGAUUUUAAAAUCAUUUGGCACAUUUGUUCACCAUCAUUGGACGGUGUGUCGCGCGAAAUAAUUACGUCGAUAUCUCCAAGGUCAAGUUCACACUUUGAGUUCAAAGGUCAAAAAUGGCCAUAAAUGAGCUUGUCCUGGCCAUAACUAUGUCAUUCAUUGUGAGAUUUUAAAAUCAUUUGGCACAUUUGUUCACCAUCAUGGGACGGUGUGUCCCACGAAAGAAUCACGUCAAUAUCUCCAAUGUCAAGGUCGCCACGACAUAAAAUAGAUUUAAAAAAAAAAAAAAACUUACAAAGGGGGUUAAUUUUUUUUGGUCAUUUCAAAAGUUCAGUUUGAGUUUUCUCCCUUUAUCAGAUUUUUUUUUCACAAUGAAAACCUGGUUUUGUGACAAUUUUGUCCCUUGUUUAACUAUCAUUUGUGAAACAAUUUUGAAAAGCUUUAUUAAGCACAGAAAACAUUAAAAUCAUGUUGUUUAAUAUGAACACAGAGAUAAGGAUGCUGACAUUUUUAUGUCCCACACUAUAGUAGUGGGGGACAUAUUGUUUUUGCCCUGUCUGUUGGUUGGUUGGUCUGUUGGUUGGUUGGUUGGUUGGUCUGUUGGUUGGUUUGCGCCAACUUUAACAUUUUGCAAUAACUUUUGCUAUAUUGAAGAUAGCAACUUCAUAUUUGGCAUGCAUGUGUAUCUCAUGAAGCUGCACAUUUUGAGUGGUGAAAGGUCAAGGUCAUCCUUCAAGGUCAGAGGUCAAAUAUAUGUGGCCAAAAUCGCUCAUUUUAUGAAUACUUUUGCAAUUUUGAAGAUAGCAACUUCAUAUUUGGCAUGCAUGUGUAUCUCAUGGAGCUGCACAUUUUGAGUGGUGAAAGGUCAAGGUCAAGGUCAUCCUUCAAGGUCAGAGGUCAAAUAUAUGUGGCCCAAAUCGCUUAUUUUAUGAAUACUUGUGCAAUAUUGAAGAUAGCAACUUGAUAUUUGGCAUGCAUGUGUAUCUCAUGGAGCUGCACAUCUUGAGUGGUGAAAGGUUAAGGUCAUCCUUGAAGGUCAGAGGUCAAAUAUAUGUGGCCCAAAUCGCUUAUUUUUUGCGUUAACUUUUACUUUUGAAAAAAACUUUUUUGUCAUAUAUUGUCUUUAAAUGUUUACCACAACCAAAGUUAAAGAAAAAUACACAUAGCAUAUUUGUAUGACCUGCAUGCAGAUUUUCUUAAGGAACUUUCUGAAUUCUGUUAUGAGUUUGCUCUUAUCCAGAAGUUAUUUGACAAAAUUUUUAUCAAUUGCAUUUCUAUUUAAAUAUUUGAAUUGCGCUUAUUGCUUAACUUCAGUUAGACAUUCUGGUGCAUGCACAAAAAUGAGCCUCACUCUGGGAGCAUUGUGCUUAACCCUUUGCAUGCUGGGAAAUUUGUCGUCUGCUAAAAUGUCGUCUGCUGAAUUUCUAAAAUUAGCAUUUUCUUCGAUUUUUUUGAAAGAAUACUAUCAGAAUAGCAAACAGUUUGGAUCCUGAUGAGACGCCACGUUGUGUGGCAUCUCAUCUGGAUGCAAACUGUUUGCAAAGGCCUUUAAAAUUCGUUUCCCGCACUGAAAGGGUUAUAGUGUUGUCCCAGAUUAGCCUGUGCUUUAAAAAACAAACAUUUACAGAAAGUCUCCUCUAGACACAAAUUCAGUUUUGGAGGAAAGUGUCAUUCUUGAUUAGCCCAUGUGGACUGCACAGACUUAACAGGGACGACACUAUGCACAUGCAUUAAGCCCAAUUUUUCAAGAGCAAGGCUCAUAUUCUGUUGCCAUUCAUGCUCAACGUUGUUGGUACUGGUUCCAUGCUCAUUUUUGUAUAUGUUGGUUCCAUGCUCAUUGUUUUUAUGCCCCCAGUAGGGUGGCAUAUAGCAGUUGAACUGUCCGUCAGUCUGUCUGUGCAUCCGUCCAAAAUCCAUAACAUUGGCCAUAACUUUUGCAAUAUUGAAGAUAGCAACUUGAUAUUUGGCUGUGUAUCUCAUGGAGCUGCACAUUUUGAGUGGUGAUAAAAAGUCAAGGUCAUCCUUCAAGGUCAAAGGAAAACAAUUUGUUUUUUUUUAAUUUAAAGGGGGCAUUGCGUUUCUGACAAACACAUCCCUUGUUGGUACUGGUAUCAUG
Dreissena polymorpha is the source of this 3808-nucleotide long non-coding RNA. RefSeq lists it as uncharacterized. The record is from RefSeq and is a predicted model, not a curated record. NCBI's taxonomy places the organism in Eukaryota, Metazoa, Mollusca, Bivalvia, Myida, Dreissenidae. The transcript has 2 exons.